Cucurbita maxima (winter squash) is the source of this 1099-nucleotide long non-coding RNA. RefSeq lists it as uncharacterized. The record is from RefSeq and is a predicted model, not a curated record. The transcript has 3 exons. Lineage: Eukaryota; Viridiplantae; Streptophyta; Magnoliopsida; Cucurbitales; Cucurbitaceae.
UUCUGUUUUGAGUUUUCUCAAGAUAUAUAUUUUUUUUAUAAAGAAAAAGUAGUCUUCUGUUGUUCCACUUCCAAAUUGUCCUUGCCACAAUGUUAUACAUGGGAGGCAGCUUAGCCUAACAGAAAAUGGCUGCUGCUAUUGGAGGUCUUUUUUUAUGGAGGCCACCUUCCAUCAUGUUUGAGUACUUUUCAAUGGAAACAUUUAAAAAGAAAAAAGGCUUUAAGUUGACUCUGAUGAAGGGCAGGCAAGGCAGGCAGUGCAUGCAACUUUAGAAACCAUUCCUUUCUUACACGAAGAAGUAGAAAGAUCAGUCGUGGCCUCCAAAACCACUGCCUUUCUUAUUUCCUUUUUUCCUUCUCUACAGGAGAGUUUGAGGCCUCCAAUACUAGGAUGAAUCUUAAUCACUCUCCUAACAAGGUAUACUGUAAAGUGGUGAAUAUGUGGUUUUUCAUGUUUGGAAGCUAUUUACUUUUCUCUUUAACAACUUCUCUAGUCCCUACUGUCAGAGACAUGAGAGAUCCAGAUAUUAUACAAGUAUAUAAUUUGAUGUCAACAGAUUCGUUAAGAACAGUUCUGAUGAGUUUGAUCUGUUUCAGGAAUCUGACCUGGACGAGAAUUUCUGAGGUGUGAGUAAUUUUCACUCAGGAAAGUUAUACAAUGUGUAUUGUGUUGGUUAGCUUACAGUAAUGUUUUCUUACAUGAAGGAUGGAUUCCAAAGGGAGAUGAGGAAGCUUUUGAUUGUUUACAGACCAGAUUAUGAUGAUCCUGUGGAUAAGCAUGAGCCUCAGAAACCAGGCACUGGAAAGACAUAGGACUUGAGAUUCCUGUGUUUCCCUUGGGCAAAUAAUGAGGAUGAAAAUGGGAACUCUCCUGAUAGUCUCCUUGUGAACCAAAUAAGACUUCCAAAUUGAAAAGUUCUGAAUCCUAACGGAAGGUGUAGAAUGAUUCAACAAGUUGUAGUGCAGUUUUAGAGGCAUGAUAGUUAAGGCGUCAAACUCUUGUGAGGAUGAAAAGUAUGGAACAAUAAGCUGAUUAUACAACAGUGGGACACACAAACUUUAAAGACAGAAAAUAGAGGACGCCCACCAAAUACCGAAAG